UAUAACCACACUUCAUAGACACACUAACAUUAUGGUUAGUGAAUUUAUCUAACUAUUUUGGGAAAAACAAUUGUACUCAAGAUGCCUAAACAAAAUAUUUAACAAUAUUAAACACACCUUGCAUUUCUGGAUAAUCUUCAUUAGCUCCACAUAAUAUUCCUAAAAUAGAUGAUAUUAUCAAAAUUUUAGUUUAACGUGUGCCUAUUUUUAAGCUACCAACUUAACGAAAAAUAUCAGUUUUUAGUUCCAAUCUGCAUUCUUAACUUCUCAUAUUUUUAAUGUUUUAAGUUUUAAGAAAUCGUGUAUAUAGAAAACGGAAAUCCAAAUAUUAUUUUUUAAUAGGAACACAUAAACAAAAAGAUAUCAAUCUUUCAAUUAAAUUCCAUAUACUUUGUAAACCAUAUAUGAUAUACAUUAAAUUAUAGGACAUUUCUUUAUGAUACUAUCACA
This 450-nucleotide long non-coding RNA is filed under the name Brassica napus (rape). RNAcentral's name for it is "long non-coding RNA (BNAP_LNC005441)". Lineage: Eukaryota; Viridiplantae; Streptophyta; Magnoliopsida; Brassicales; Brassicaceae. The record is from RNAcentral.